GACGAACGCUGGCGGCGUGCUUAACACAUGCAAGUCGAACGCUGAAGCUCAGCUUGCUGGGUGGAUGAGUGGCGAACGGGUGAGUAACACGUGAGUAACCUGCCCUCUUCUUUGGGAUAACGCCCGGAAACGGGUGCUAAUACUGGAUAUUCACUGAUUCUCGCAUGGGGGUUGGUGGAAAGGUUUUUUCUGGUGGGGGAUGGGCUCGCGGCCUAUCAGCUUGUUGGUGGGGUGAUGGCCUACCAAGGCUUUGACGGGUAGCCGGCCUGAGAGGGUGACCGGUCACAUUGGGACUGAGAUACGGCCCAGACUCCUACGGGAGGCAGCAGUGGGGAAUAUAGCACAAUGGGCGAAAGCCUGAUGCAGCGACGCCGCGUGAGGGAUGGAGGCCUUCGGGUUGUAAACCUCUUUCGCUUAUGGUCAAGCCGCAGCUUUGGGUUGUGGUGAGGGUAGUGGGUAAAGAAGCGCCGGCUAACUACGUG
RNAcentral lists this ribosomal RNA (482 nucleotides) under uncultured bacterium. RNAcentral describes it as "partial 16S ribosomal RNA". It matches the Rfam family "Bacterial small subunit ribosomal RNA", at positions 28 to 507 of the family's 1533-position model. The record is from RNAcentral.